Pan troglodytes (chimpanzee) is the source of this 107-nucleotide small nuclear RNA. The record is from Ensembl. NCBI's taxonomy places the organism in Eukaryota, Metazoa, Chordata, Mammalia, Primates, Hominidae.
GUGCUCACUUCGCCAGCACAUAUACUAAAAUUGGAACAAUACAGAGAAGGUUAGCAUGGCCCCUGGGCAAGGAUGACAUGCAAAUUCCUGAAGCGUUCCAUAUUUUU